UACGUAGGGGGCUAGCGUUGUCCGGAAUCAUUGGGCGUAAAGAGCGUGUAGGCGGUCCGGUAAGUCCGCUGUGAAAGUCGGGGGCUCAACCCUCGAAUGCCGGUGGAUACUGUCGGGCUAGAGUGCGGAAGAGGCGAGUGGAAUUCCACGUGUAGCGGUGAAAUGCGUAGAGAUGUGGAGGAACACCAGUGGCGAAGGCAGCUCGCUGGGACGUGACUGACGCUGAGACGCGAAAGCGUGGGAGCAAACAGG
RNAcentral lists this ribosomal RNA (252 nucleotides) under uncultured bacterium. RNAcentral's name for it is "partial 16S ribosomal RNA". It matches the Rfam family "Bacterial small subunit ribosomal RNA", at positions 524 to 776 of the family's 1533-position model. The record is from RNAcentral.